GGGGUCGUAGCUCAGUUGGGAGAGCGCCUCGAUGGCAUCGAGGAGGUCAGGGGUUCGAUUCCCCUCGACUCCA
Molecule: transfer RNA, 73 nt
Filed under: Myxococcota bacterium
Lineage: Bacteria; Pseudomonadati; Myxococcota
Description: tRNA-Ala
Rfam family: tRNA
About the family: Transfer RNA (tRNA) molecules are approximately 80 nucleotides in length. Their secondary structure includes four short double-helical elements and three loops (D, anti-codon, and T loops).
Source: RNAcentral